Molecule: non-coding RNA, 258 nt
Organism: Pelobates cultripes (western spadefoot toad)
Lineage: Eukaryota; Metazoa; Chordata; Amphibia; Anura; Pelobatidae
Source: the annotation of a GenBank genome assembly
GUAAAUCAGUUUAACAAUGUAAAGUUAUCCCACCCAGAGCCUGGGACAGAUAGACUCAGACAGAUUGUGCCUGGGGCCCCUCCAAAACCAGCUCUACUGGAGGCGUUGAAUGAUAGAAACGCCUAAUGCGCUGGAAGGAAUCACUACUGCCAGGGAUUACAGAGCAACAUAUCCCCGCAGCCACAAGCAGCAGUCUAUUAAUAAUGGCUGCUUGCGUUAUCACAAUAUACAAUCAGCUCGUGAAAAGUCAGACGGUUU